AGAGUUUGAUCCUGGCUCAGAAUCAACGCUGGCGGCGUGCCUAACACAUGCAAGUCGCACGAGAAAGUGGAGCAAUCCAUGAGUACAGUGGCGCACGGGUGAGUAACACGUGAAUGAUCUACCUCCGAGUGGGGAAUAACUGAGAGAAAUCUUGGCUAAUACCGCAUAAUACCCACGGGUCAAAGCAGCAAUGCGCUUGGAGAGGAGUUCGCGGCCGAUUAGCUAGUUGGCGGGGUAAUGGCCCACCAAGGCGAUGAUCGGUAUCCGGCCUGAGAGGGCGCACGGACACACUGGAACUGAAACACGGUCCAGACUCCUACGGGAGGCAGCAGUGGGGAAUUUUGCGCAAUGGGGGAAACCCUGACGCAGCAACGCCGCGUGGAGGAUGAAAUCCCUUGGGAUGUAAACUCCUUUCGAUAGGGAAGAUAAUGACGGUACCUAUAGAAGAAGCCCCGGCUAACUUCGUGCCAGCAGCCGCGGUAAUACGAGGGGGGCAAGCGUUGUUCGGAAUUAUUGGGCGUAAAGGGUGCGUAGGCGGUUUGGCAAGUCUUAUGUGAAAUCUAUGGGCUCAACUCAUAGUCUGCAUGAGAAACUGCCGGGCUUGAGUAUGGGAGAGGUGAGUGGAAUUUCCGGUGUAGCGGUGAAAUGCGUAGAUAUCGGAAGGAACACCUGUGGCGAAAGCGGCUCACUGGACCAUAACUGACGCUGAUGCGCGAAAGCUAGGGGAGCAAACAGGAUUAGAUACCCUAGUAGUCC
Molecule: ribosomal RNA, 756 nt
Filed under: uncultured bacterium
Lineage: Bacteria
Description: bacterial SSU rRNA
Rfam family: Bacterial small subunit ribosomal RNA
Source: RNAcentral